RNAcentral lists this long non-coding RNA (215 nucleotides) under Mytilus galloprovincialis (Mediterranean mussel). The record is from RNAcentral. Lineage: Eukaryota; Metazoa; Mollusca; Bivalvia; Mytilida; Mytilidae.
CGAUAAAACUGAAGAAAAUUAUUGACUUUUGUCUCUCUAGUGUCGUAAAAUUUGAUGUUUCUGGUCGGUAUAGCAUUAGUCCGGGGAACAAAUGAUUUUACACUUGCUCAAAUACCAAAAAUUCAGAUAUUUCUACGUCUUUUGCUGUUUUAAUUGACAAAUUCGGGAUAGAAUUGCCAAUCUUAUGAAUGUUUACAUUAAUGUAAUUUUUUUCG